Molecule: long non-coding RNA, 4751 nt
Organism: Hypanus sabinus (Atlantic stingray)
Lineage: Eukaryota; Metazoa; Chordata; Chondrichthyes; Myliobatiformes; Dasyatidae
Exons: 2
Source: RefSeq, a predicted model, not a curated record
UUUGCUUCCUGACAGUGACCUCUCUUGGGAAAUGUGUUGAGAUGAUUUGUGAAUUCCAGUGAUGGAGGAAGGAAGGAGAAAUCAGUGGCAGUCGGGGAGAAUAAGAGUAAUUUACCUUUUUUUAAACAGUAAGUUCAGUCUUCUGGAAUUCACUGGAAGCAAAUUCAGUAUUUCCAAAAGGGAGCAACACACAGAAAAUGCUGGAGGAACUCAGCAGGCCAGGCAGCAUCCAUGGAAAAAAGUAUGGUCGAUGUUUUAGGCCUCUCUCCCCCUCCCCCAACUGUACUAGAGCACGUUGUCUAGUUCCAUGUGUUCCCAUUAGUUUCCAACUCUGUCAGUAAUGUAGUUUUUAAAAGCAGGUUUUUAUAAGUGUGCUAUUCAGAGACCUGUUUGUGGCUUAAGGUGCCUUGAGAGCAUCGGAAGUCUGGGUGCAUUGCUCAGAUUUCCAGCAUCUGCAGAUUUUCUCUUGUUUCUAAUUCCAAAAGGGAGUUGGAUAAAUAACGGGAAUAAGGAAAAUCUACAGACAGGAGAAUGCAGAGUAGCAUAGUGGUUAGCAUAACACUUUUGUAUGUCCUUCCCUUGACCACAUGGGUUUCCUUGGGGAGCUCCAAUUUUCUUCGACAUUGCAAAGAUAUACAGGUUAGGGUUAGUAAGUUGUGGGCAUGCUAUGGAGGCGCUGGAAUCAUGGCAACACUUGCGUGCUGACCCCAGCACAUCCUCGGACUGUUUUUGGUCGUUGAUGCAAACAACACAUUUCAUUGUACAUGUGACAAGUAAAGCUAAUCUGAUCCCUUUGAUCAGCUCCUUUGCAAAGCUGGCAUGGACACAAUGUCCUGAAUAUCCACCUUUAAUGUUCAGAGAACUAAGGGUUUGUGUGGAACAGGUCCUAUUUAGUUGGAGCUGGUUCAACCGCAGAGGAAUUAAAAUGGAAAAUAUCAGUUUAAAAUAGAGUGAUUUCCCUGUGAGAGAGCAUGGGAAGGAAAAUUCUGGGGAACAGCAGUGUAACUGAAUGGAACAAGGAUGGUGCUUGACAGAUCCUGGGUACAUUUGAGGUCAUCCUUGGAUUGCUUGUGAUUAUUGGUGACCAGAGUUCUUAGAGAAAACCCUUGUGGUCAUGUGGAGAAUGUAUAACUCCUUACAAAUAGUGGUGGGAAUUGAACCCUGGUGCUGUAAAGCAUUACACUGACCACUACGUUACCAUACCACCCUACUAUGCUGCCAUGCCCCUUUCCCCACUAUGUUGUCUAGUUCCUCGUGUUUCCACUAGUUUCCAACUCUGUCAGCAACGUAAUUUUUAAAAGCAGGUUUCUAUAAAUGUGCUCUUCAGGAACCCUUGAGACCAUCGGAAAACUGAUGUGUUACAUAACCUACAUACUGAAGGAGCCAAAUUAUGUUGGUGUUGCUUAAUCCAAGGUGAGAGUGGAUAUAUGGCACAAAACACACAGGAGGCAGCUAAGCAUGAGUGUGUGUGAUAAUAAGACCAUAAGACAUAGGAGCAGAAUUGGGCAUUCAACCCACUGAGUCUUCUCUGCCAUUCAGUCGUGGCUGAUUUAUUAUCUUUCUCAACCCCAUUCUCCUUCCUUCUCCCUGUAACCUUUUGCACCCUGACUAAUCAAGAACCUAUCAAACUCUGCUUUAAAUAUACUGUAUGACGUGCCCUCCACAGCUGUCCAUGGCAAUGAAUUCCACAGAUUCACCACCCUCCGACUAAAGAAAAUCCUCCUCAUCUCUGUUGUACAUGGACAUCCCUCUAUUCUGAGGCUGUGCCCUCCAAUCCUAGACUCCCCAUUAUAGGAAACAUCCUCUCCACUUCCACUCUAUCUAGGUCUUUGAAUAUUCGAUAGGUUACAGUGAGAGCCCCCCACCCCCCCUCAUUCUUCGAAACUCCAGUGAGUGCAGGUCAAGAGCCAUCAAACACUCCUCAUAUGUUAACCCUUUCUGGAAUAAUUCUUGUGAACCUCCUUUAGACAAAGGAUCUAUAUAUGAUGAAUAAACUCUUCUCAGGCUUCCGUCCAGGUACAUCUAUCAAUUUCAAUUGAUGUUUCACUGGAAGACUCUGCCAUCUUCAUCAGAGAUGAUGCCUAGGCAUGUUCAGUCUGGUGGUAUUUAUGCCCCUGUUGACGGUACCUCCUGAUAAGUUAGUCCUCGUCCAAUCAGGUUUCCAUUGUCCCACUGUGUUUGCAAUCAAAUUCCAGUUAGUGCUAGACCUUCAUCUUUGUUAAAAUUCUUUUUCUAUAGUUUCAAUGGCUUCCUUCACCAGGUGGUCCCAAAAGCCAGUGGUGCAGCAGAGUAGUUUUGUGCCGACAGGGGUAUAAAUAUCACCAGACUAGACAUACCCGGGUAUCAUCCCUGAUGAAGAUGGCAGAGUUUGUCAUCGAAAUGUUGGUACCCAGCUGGAAGCCUGAGAAGAGUUUAUUCUUCCUUUGGACACUCUCCAAUGCCAGCACAUCUUUUCUUAGGUAAGAGGCCCAAAACUGUUCACAGUGCUCCAAGUGUGGUGUGGCCAAUGUUUUACGAAGCCUCAGUAUUAAAUCCUUACUUUUAUAUUCUAGUCCCCACAAAAUGAAAGUUAAAAUUGCAUCUGCCUUCCUCACCACUGACUCAACCUGCAAGUUAACAUUAAGGAAAUCCUGCAUGAGGACUGCCAAGUCGCUUUUCUCCUCUGCUUUCUGAAUGUUCUCCCUGGUUAUAAAGUAGUCUUCACUUUUAUUCCACUUACCAAAGUGCAUAACCAUACAUUCCCAAUACUGUAUUCCAUCUAUCGGAUGUGCAUGUGUUGAUAUGCAGAAUCAGUUUUAUUACUACUGACACACGUUACAGAAUUUGUUGUUGUGUAGCAACAUUAAAGUGCAAUAUAUAAAAAUUACUAUAAGUCACAAAUAAAUAAUGGAAAGAAAAGGUGGAGCAGUGACGAUGGAUAGUUGGGUGAGGAGAUGGAUCAUCGAUGGUGCAGACUGUGGGGUAAGGAGCUGAAUCAUACAUGCUGUAGACUGGUGGGUGAGGAGACAGAUCAGUGCUGUCGACUGUUGGGUGGUGAGAUGAAUCAGUGAUGGUGUAGACUGUUGGAUGGGGAGAUGAGUUAUAUAUACUGCAGACUGGUGGGUGAGGAGAUGGAUCAGUGAGUGUAGACUGGUGGGUGGGGAGAUAGAUCAGUGACGGUGUUGACUGGUCAGUGAGGAGAUGGGUCAGUGAUGGUGUAGACUGUUGGGUGAGGAGAUGGGUCACUGAUGGUGUAGAGACUGUUGGGUGAGGAGAUGAGUCAGUGAUGGUGUAGACUGGUCAGUGAGGAGAUGGGUCAGUGAUGGUGUAGACUGUUGGGUGAGGAGAUGGGUCAGUGAUGGUGUAGGCUUUUGGGUGAGGAGGUGGGUCAGUGAUGGUGUAGAGACUGUUGGGUGAGGAGAUGAGUCAGUGAUGGUGUAGACUGGUCAGUGAGGAGAUGGGUCAGUGAUGGUGUAGACUGUUGGGUGAGGAGAUGGGUCAGUGAUGGUGUAGACUGUUGGGUGAGGAGAUGAGUCAGUGAUGGUGUAGACUGGUCAGUGAGGAGAUGGGUCAGUGAUGGUGUAGACUGUUGGGUGAGGAGAUGGGUCACUGAUGGUGUAGAGACUGUUGGGUGAGGAGAUGGGUCAGUGAUGGUGUAGACUGGGGGGUGGGGAGAUGGGUCAGUGAGGAGAUGGGUCAGUGAUGGUGUAGACUGUUGGGUGAGGAGAUGGGUCAGUGAUGGUGUAGACUGGGGGGUGAGGAGAUGGGUCAGUGAUGGUGUAGAGACUGUUGGGUGAGGAGAUGGGUCAGUGAUGGUGUAGACUGGGAGGUGAGGAGCUGGGUCAGUGAUGGUGUAGAGACUGUUGGGUGAGGAGAUGGGUCAGUGAUGGCGUAGACUGGUCAGUGAGGAGAUGGGUCAGUGAUGGUGUAGACUGGUCAGUGAAGAGAUGGGUCAGUGAUGGUGUAGACUGGUCAGUGAGGAGAUGGAUCAGUGAUGGUGUAGGCUGUUGGGUGAGGAGAUGGGUCAGUGAUGGUGUAGAGACUGUUGGGUGAGGAGAUGGGUCAGUGAUGGUGUAGAGACUGUUGGGUGAGGAGAUGGGUCAGUGAUGGUGUAGACUGGGAGGUGAGGAGAUGGGUCAGUGAUGGUGUAGAGACUGUUGGGUGAGGAGAUGGGUCAGUGAUGGCGUAGAGACUGUUGGGUGAGGAGAUGGGUCAGUGAUGGUGUAGACUGGGGGGUGGGGAGAUGGGUCAGUGAGGAGAUGGGUCAGUGAUGGUGUAGACUGUUGGGUGAGGAGAUGGGUCAGUGAUGGUGUAGACUGGGGGGUGAGGAGAUGGGUCAGUGAUGGUGUAGAGACUGUUGGGUGAGGAGAUGGGUCAGUGAUGGUGUAGACUGGGAGGUGAGGAGCUGGGUCAGUGAUGGUGUAGAGACUGUUGGGUGAGGAGAUGGGUCAGUGAUGGCGUAGACUGGUCAGUGAGGAGAUGGGUCAGUGAUGGUGUAGACUGGUCAGUGAAGAGAUGGGUCAGUGAUGGUGUAGACUGGUCAGUGAGGAGAUGGAUCAGUGAUGGUGUAGGCUGUUGGGUGAGGAGAUGGGUCAGUGAUGGUGUAGAGACUGUUGGGUGAGGAGAUGGGUCAGUGAUGGUGUAGAGACUGUUGGGUGAGGAGAUGGGUCAGUGAUGGCGUAGACUGGUCAGUGAGGAGAUGGGUCAGUGAUGGUGUAGACUGGUCAGUGAAGAGAUGGGUCAGUGAUGGUGUAGACUGGUCAGUGAGGAGA